This 390-nucleotide unclassified non-coding RNA is filed under the name Hevea brasiliensis (rubber tree). Lineage: Eukaryota; Viridiplantae; Streptophyta; Magnoliopsida; Malpighiales; Euphorbiaceae. The record is from RNAcentral.
AUGAAACUGUAGCUCCUGAAGCCAAACGCCCCAAAACAGACAAGAAAUACAGUAUAACAAUCACCUUAAUGAAGAGCCUUUUGUCAUGCCCGGUCGCAGCAACCCUUAGCACGGACUCAGCUGCCCCAACCGUAUUAGCCAAGCAUGCAGCAAUGCCAUUGGCUGUGUCCUGCGAUAUCUGCCAUUCUAGAGGAUCCACGGGUACCGAGAUGUUGAGCUGGCGGAAGAGCAUGCCGAGGAUGGCGAGGGAACAGAGGAGGACGAUGAGGACGUCGGCGGCGAGGGAGAGAAGGCUCGAAUCCCGGUAGGCGCAGUGGUAGUAUACCAGGCUACCGCACACCAGCACCACCGCUGGCCGGCCAACCUCCACCGUCCUCGCCGGCGCCUCGG